Molecule: ribosomal RNA, 429 nt
Filed under: Gemmatimonadota bacterium
Lineage: Bacteria; Pseudomonadati; Gemmatimonadota
Description: Gemmatimonadetes bacterium partial 16S ribosomal RNA
Rfam family: Bacterial small subunit ribosomal RNA
Source: RNAcentral
UAGGGAAUCUUCGGCAAUGGACGAAAGUCUGACCGAGCAACGCCGCGUGAGUGAAGAAGGUUUUCGGAUCGUAAAACUCUGUUGUUAGAGAAGAACAAGGACGUUAGUAACUGAACGUCCCCUGUCGGUAUCUAACCAGAAAGCCACGGCUAACUACGUGCCAGCAGCCGCGGUAAUACGUAGGUGGCAAGCGUUGUCCGGAUUUAUUGGGCGUAAAGCGAGCGCAGGCGGUUUCUUAAGUCUGAUGUGAACGCCCCCGGCUCAGCCGGGGAAGGUCAUUUGAAUCUGGGAGGCUUGAGUGCAGAAGAGGAGAGUGGAAUUGCAUGUGUAGCGGUGAAAUGCGUAGAUAUAUGGAGGAACACCAGUGGCGAAGGCGGCUCUCUGGUAUGUAACUAACGCUGAGGCUCGAAAGCGUGGGGAGCAAACAGG